AGUAAUGAUAAAACAAGUCCUCGCUAAAUCAAAUCAUACACGCUCACAGUUUUUAAAAGCUCAUUGAACACAAGUCAGGCGCGCCUUCCCAGUUUCUUUCUUUCUUUCCCUCUGUCGAUCAAAUGCAGGUAAGAAGAAGAAAGGAUAAUGAGCAGCAGCUGUUCAUCGAAUGGAUUAUAGCCGUUGUCGCCAUCGACAAGGAAGCUGGAUGACUUAGAGUUGAUGCUGCAAUACCUUCCCAUUUUGUAUGUUUUUUUAGCCUUCCUUUUUCUGUGUUGUUUUUCGUCUCUCGUAGCAAACAGCACUCGUGCUAAAAAGUCUUAAAAUCACCAGUUCUAUUCUUCAUUUUUGUUCAAGUGUGAUGCUUGCUUUCUUUAACAUUUUCGUCUUUCGUAGCACCUCUCCUGCGAUUUAUAUGUGGGUGUGAUGCUUGCUUUCUUUAACAUUUUCGUCUUUCGUAGCACCUCUCCUGCGAUUUAUAUGUGGGUGUGAUGCUUGCUUUCUUUAACAUGUUCUGGAAACCUUUGAAGGCAGGAAUAAAUGUUGUGUCUGUGCAACUUGCAUGUUCUGUAUAGAGAUAGACUUCAUGCCAGCAAUCGCUCUAGUUCCUAGGGAAAGGUCUCCCCAUAUUAUAGCCAAAGAAAAAGCUAAGGAGCUUGAAUGUCUUGCAUGGCUGAAGUAGGCCUUUCUAUAUAUGGGCAUUCAAAGGAAUGGAGUUGCAGAAGAGAGCUCGGAUAAUGCUUCGGUUGUAGAGGUUAGGGAGUCAUUCCUCGUGCUUAUGGGCCAAGUAGUUGUCUCUUUGGUGACCAUUUCCACUAGCAAUGGCAGCCAUCAUCCAUCACCCAAUGGCAAAAUCCUGUGGGACUUUGCUGCAGGGAAUUGUAUCAUCGGCUAUAUUUCUUUGUUUACACGUGUCUUGAUCGGUGGACGUCAAAGAGGGUUUGCCACCCGAAUUGUGACUGCGAUUUGAUAUGCUGGCAUAUCUUUUGGGUUCAUAGCUUGCGUGGUCAUGUGGCUGCCAGAUAGCAUCAACCUGUGUGGAUAGCUUUAGGGGCUUGUGAAUUAUGCUUGCCUGCAAUAGCAUCAAACUGCUCCACAUGUUAAUUAGGAUUGUGUCUACAGGUUUGGUCUGUACAUGCACGUCGGGAGCCUCUGGCUGUGUGCUUUAGGAGUACUGAUAAUGGACGAGUCCUUUGAGAUCA
This is a long non-coding RNA of Populus nigra (black poplar), 1202 nucleotides long. RefSeq lists it as uncharacterized. The transcript is spliced from 2 exons. The record is from RefSeq and is a predicted model, not a curated record. NCBI's taxonomy places the organism in Eukaryota, Viridiplantae, Streptophyta, Magnoliopsida, Malpighiales, Salicaceae.